This 345-nucleotide unclassified non-coding RNA is filed under the name soil metagenome. RNAcentral's name for it is "partial contains 5.8S ribosomal RNA, internal transcribed spacer 2, and large subunit ribosomal RNA". The stretch from base 1 to 120 matches the Rfam family "5.8S ribosomal RNA", at positions 35 to 154 of the family's 154-position model. The record is from RNAcentral.
GAUGAAGAACGGAGCGAAAUGCGAUACGUAAUGUGAAUUGCAGAAUUCAGUGAAUCAUCGAGUCUUUGAACGCACAUUGCGCCCCCUGGUAUUCCGGGGGGCAUGCCUGUCCGAGCGUCAUUGCUGCCCUCAAGCACGGCUUGUGUGUUGGGCCUCCGUCCUCCUCCCGGGGGACGGGCCCGAAAGGCAGCGGCGGCACCGCGUCCGGUCCUCGAGCGUAUGGGGCUUCGUCACCCGCUCUUGUAGGCCCGGCCGGCGCUUGCCGACACAUCAAUCUUUUUUCCAGGUUGACCUCGGAUCAGGGAGGGAUACCCGCUGAACUUAAGCAUAUCAAUAAGCGGAGGA